GUCUACAGCCAUACCACCCUGAAUGGGCCUGAUCUCAUCUGAUCUCAGAAACUAAGCAGGAUCAGGUCUGGUUAGUACUUGGAUGGAAGAAUAAACACUAAAGAAUACAGCUGAAAUCC
This 119-nucleotide ribosomal RNA is filed under the name Octodon degus (degu). The record is from RNAcentral. Lineage: Eukaryota; Metazoa; Chordata; Mammalia; Rodentia; Octodontidae.